GCUAAGCCUUCAAAAUCCAGUGUGUAUCUCACGUUUAUAGCACAUCUCAAUUCAGACUCACCAGCCACAUUAAAGUGCUCAGUAGCCACAUGUGACCAGCAGCUACCAACCUGGCAACACAGGUCUAAAGAAUCUCUUUAGGUUGUUUAUAUUUUAGUAUUUCUCUCAGGUGAUUUGUGUCUUUUGCCGUCUCUGUCUUCCUGCCUUAGCCUGCAAUUGCAAUCCGUAUGGGACCAUGAAGCAGCAGAGCAGCUGUAACCCCGUGACGGGGCAGUGUGAAUGUUUGCCUCACGUGACUGGCCGGGACUGUGGUGCUUGUGACCCUGGAUUCUACAAUCUGCAGAGUGGGCAAGGCUGUGAGAGGUGUGACUGCCAUGCCUUGGGCUCCACCAAUGGGCAGUGUGACAUCCGCACCGGCCAGUGUGAGUGCCAGCCUGGCAUCACUGGUCAGCACUGUGAGCGCUGUGAGGUCAACCACUUUGGGUUUGGACCUGAAGGCUGCAAACCCUGUGACUGUCAUCCUGAGGGAUCUCUUUCACUUCAGUGCAAAGAUGAUGGUCUCUGUGAAUGCAGAGAAGGCUUUGUGGGAAAUCGCUGUGACCAGUGUGAAGAAAACUAUUUCUACAAUCGGUCUUGGCCUGGCUGCCAGGAAUGUCCAGCUUGUUACCGGCUGGUAAAGGAAAAGGUUGCUGAUCAUAGAGUGAAGCUCCAGGAAUUAGAGAGUCUCAUAGCAAACCUUGGAACUGGGGAUGAGAUGGUGACAGAUCAAGCCUUCGAGGAUAGACUAAAGGAAGCAGAGAGGGAAGUUAUGGACCUCCUU
RNAcentral lists this small RNA (820 nucleotides) under Pan troglodytes (chimpanzee). RNAcentral describes it as "processed transcript". Lineage: Eukaryota; Metazoa; Chordata; Mammalia; Primates; Hominidae. The record is from RNAcentral.